RNAcentral lists this ribosomal RNA (371 nucleotides) under uncultured organism. Its description in RNAcentral is "bacterial SSU rRNA". It matches the Rfam family "Bacterial small subunit ribosomal RNA", at positions 526 to 896 of the family's 1533-position model. The record is from RNAcentral.
CGUAGGCAGCAAGCGUUGUUCGGAGUUACUGGGCGUAAAGGGUGUGUAGGCGGUUAUUAAAGUUUGGUGUGAAAUCUCCCGGCUCAACCGGGAGGGCGCGCCGAAUACUGAAUGACUUGGAGUGCGGGAGAGGAAAGUGGAAUUCCUGGUGUAGCGGUGAAAUGCGUAGAUAUCAGGAGGAACACCGGUGGUGUAGACGGCUUUCUGGACCGUAACUGACGCUGAGACACGAAGGCGUGGGUAGCAAACAGGAUUAGAUACCCUGGUAGUCCACGCCCUAAACGAUGCAUAUUUGGUGUGGGCAGUUCAUUCUGUCCGUGCCGGAGCUAACGCGUUAAAUAUGCCGCCUGGGGAGUACAGUCGCAAGGCUG